AGCAUGUGGCUUAAUUUGACUCAACGCGGGAAAUCUUACCGGGUCCGGACACACUGAGGAUUGACAGACAAACACAUUUAUGUGUUAUAAAGAUGCUAGUUCUUUCAUGAUUAUGUGAUAGGUGGUGCAUGGCCGUUCUUAGUUCGUGGAGUGAUCUGUCUGCUUAAUUGCGUUUCAAUAUUUUAUUACGUAUACGUAUGACCAACUACCUUCAUCGGUAUGUUUGUGUCUAGUAUGCUAUCAUUUGAAAGCAACGAACGUGACCGUAUCCUUUUAUUAUGUACGCACGCGUAUAUUUAUUUCAUUAAAGGGACCGCUGUUUCUUUCUUUAAACCAGAGGAAGGUUACGGCAAUAACAGGUCUGUGAUGC
Molecule: ribosomal RNA, 370 nt
Filed under: Elphidium sp. S10
Lineage: Eukaryota; Foraminifera; Rotaliida; Elphidiidae
Description: SSU rRNA
Rfam family: Eukaryotic small subunit ribosomal RNA
Source: RNAcentral